This 120-nucleotide ribosomal RNA is filed under the name Caerostris darwini. Lineage: Eukaryota; Metazoa; Arthropoda; Arachnida; Araneae; Araneidae. The record is from RNAcentral.
AACGGCCAUACCAUGCUGAAUAUACCGGUUCUCGUUAGAUCACCAAAGUCGAGCAUCAUUGGGCGCGGUCAGUACUUGGGGGCACGCGGUGUCCCCACCUAGGAACACCGCGUGCCGUUG